CCUACGGGAGGCAGCAGUGGGGAAUAUUGCGCAAUGGGCGAAAGCCUGACGCAGCGACGCCGCGUGAGGGAUGAAGGUCUUCGGAUCGUAAACCUCUGUCAGCAGGGAAGAACGGUCACUGUGCUAAUCAGCAGUGAAUUGACGGGACCUGCAAAGGAAGCACCGGCUAACUCAGUGCCAGCAGCCGCGGUAAUACGGAGGGUGCGAGUGUUAAUCGGAAUUACUGGGCGUAAAGCGCUCGUAGGCGGUAUGUGAAGUCAAGGGUGAAAGCCCGGCGCUCAACGUGGGAACUGACUUUGAAACUGGCAGACUGGAGUGUGUGAGAGGGUAGUGGAAUUCCAGGUGUAGGAGUGAAAUGCGUAGAUAUCUGGAGGAACAUCAGUGGCGAAGGCGACUAUCUGGCACAUAACUGACGCUGAGGAGCGAAGGCGUGGGUAGCAAACAGGAUUAGAUACCCUUGUAGUC
This 465-nucleotide ribosomal RNA is filed under the name uncultured bacterium. Its description in RNAcentral is "partial 16S ribosomal RNA". It matches the Rfam family "Bacterial small subunit ribosomal RNA", at positions 338 to 795 of the family's 1533-position model. The record is from RNAcentral.